This is a long non-coding RNA of Labeo rohita (rohu), 1669 nucleotides long. RefSeq lists it as uncharacterized. The record is from RefSeq and is a predicted model, not a curated record. NCBI's taxonomy places the organism in Eukaryota, Metazoa, Chordata, Actinopteri, Cypriniformes, Cyprinidae. The transcript has 4 exons.
AAUUAACAAUUUUAUUAACUACAUUAAUCCAAUUUAUUAAGCACUAUAAAUGAGCUGUGGUGUUGAGUUACAUAAUUAUAUUAAAAAAGUAAUAAAUAACCCUCUGAUGAAUAGCAUAUGCCCAUCAACCAAACAUCUUGGUAGAAGAAAUAUGGGCCAAGAAAAGAGGCGGCAUACUAUGUAGUAAAAUCGGCCCAUAUAAAGUGUUUACAUGUUAUGUUGAAUGCCUCAGACCUGGAGAAAUGCUUGAAAGUGAGCUAGAACCCAUCAGUAUUUAUAAAUCUGCAAACAGUGUGUGUAAUUGUUCUUUUAAAAUAUUUUGGUUUAAUCAAUUGUUUUUUAGGCAUAAAUAAAUGUAAUGUAAGGGAUACAAUUGUGUAAAUCUAUUUGUUUUUUGUUUUAGGUUAUCAAUGCAUACUUGACCUUGCUUACAAAAAACUACACAGGCAAGGGCUAUGUACUUGAUUCAUAUCAGGCAUCAAACCUCUGGAAUGGCAGUGGCAGUUUAAUGAAAAGGCUGGAUCCAGGCAAAUAUGAUGUUGUGAUUGGUUCAAUUAACGAGAACAACCACUGGACACUCAUGGUCUGUUUCUUUCCAGUCUCAUCCUUCUGUGAACUAAAGUGAUAGAAAUUCAGAGCAAGGUUAAAUAAUUUUCAUUUUACAGGUGAUUUAUCCUAAAGAACGGAGGAUUCUAUACUUAAAUUAUCUUGGUGAAGACCAUAAAAAAUUUGCUCAGUGUGAAAAGGUUGUAAGGUCAGAACAAACAUAUGCCCUUAAUGUCCUCAUUUAUUAAUUGCUUGUCUGAUUUUUGUUAACGUUUGAAAUAUUUCUGAACCCAACAAAGCAAAUUUAUGGCCACAAAAGGAAUUGCUGGGAAGUGGGAAUGUGGUACUUUACCACACAGCUUUCAACAGGAUGGCAAUUCAUGUGGGAUUUUUUUUUUGUUGUUGUUGUUGUUUUUUUUUAAAGCACAGUUAUCAAAAGUGUUAAAGUAUUGGGGGUUUAAUUAAUUAUUUUUGUAGUUUGCAGAAGCAAUUCUAACAGGUGGCAGUUUGGAGUUUAAAACCACAGCUGCAAAUAUCAAUAUGUUUCGCAAAGAAAUGGGCCUGUGUCUGCUACAAAAAAGUGAUGACCUUUCAGACUUAUGCUUGGCAUGUGGGGACAAAUACCCAUCCACACAAGAUACACAUGACUCUUGGGUCUGUCAGCCAGCAAUUGCUCUUUGAAUGUUCUUUGAAUGUUUCUUUAAAAUAUGCUGUCAUGUCAUUGUUUUAUUCAGAUUCAGUGUGACUGCUGUAAUGGGUGGUUUCACUGGGAAUGUGUAAACCGACCCAAUACAAAAGAUGUUUUUGUCUGUCCUGGAUGCCAAGGCCCUGUUUAAUUUAAUUUGAUUUCUAUGCACCAUUUGAUUUAUAAUUACUCUCUGUCUGCCCUUCCAACUUACCUCAGGAUGCCCAUAUAAUCCCAAGCUUCAGUUGGAUGCCAGACUCUCACAGAGACAGUGCCCAUCCCAAGGUUCUGGUGGUGCUGUUCUGGAUGUACUCCACAUAUUUAAUUCUUUCCUGGUUUUGCUUUUUUCUUCAUGCUUUAAAACAUGCAACAUUGUAAAGCACCAUAUAAUUAUAUGAGAAUAGAGUGGAAUUUCUUGUAAUGACUAUGCAUUCUGAU